Molecule: ribosomal RNA, 472 nt
Filed under: Paenisporosarcina quisquiliarum
Lineage: Bacteria; Bacillati; Bacillota; Bacilli; Caryophanales; Caryophanaceae
Description: bacterial SSU rRNA
Rfam family: Bacterial small subunit ribosomal RNA
Source: RNAcentral
UAGAGUUUGAUUCCUGGCUCAGGACGAACGCUGGCGGCGUGCCUAAUACAUGCAAGUCGAGCGGAAUGAUGAAGAAGCUUGCUUCUUCUGAUUUUAGCGGCGGACGGGUGAGUAACACGUGGGCAACCUACCUUGUAGAUUGGGAUAACUCCGGGAAACCGGGGCUAAUACCAAAUAAUCCAUUUUGCUUCAUGGCGAAAUGUUGAAAGGCGGCUUCGGCUGUCACUACGAGAUGGGCCCGCGGCGCAUUAGCUAGUUGGUAGGGUAAUGGCCUACCAAGGCGACGAUGCGUAGCCGACCUGAGAGGGUGAUCGGCCACACUGGGACUGAGACACGGCCCAGACUCCUACGGGAGGCAGCAGUAGGGAAUCUUCCACAAUGGACGAAAGUCUGAUGGAGCAACGCCGCGUGAGUGAAGAAGGUUUUCGGAUCGUAAAACUCUGUUGUAAGGGAAGAACACGUACGAGAGUAA